ACAACAACAACAGAAAGAGAAACGACAACAACAACAGAAAGAGGCACAACAACAACAAGAUCUCCAAAAAAAUAGCCAUGAACAAUUUCAAACAGUAUUGGUAGAAACACAAUUUGAAGAACAAUACCAACAAGAUCCAACAACAAAUGUUUCCACAUCAAAUGUCUCCAUGACAGGGUCACAUCUUCAGUAUUUGCCACGUUCCAGAUGCAAUUCAUUAGAUGAUUAUCUUAACAACCAUUCAUUCGAUGAAACCCUAUCCAUACCGAUAUCGACACCCGCACCAAAUGACAAUAGUAAGGCAAUACCUACAACAACCUCAACUACGACUGCAACUACAUCAGCCAAUCAGAAAAGCAAAAAAACAAAUUCAACAUUAGAGCGCAAAUUGGAAAUUUGAAAUACCAAAUUAGAUUACAUAAUAGAUGUAUUACACGAAAAAUCAGGACAUAGUGAGCCAGUAAAUGAAUUUGUUUUCGAAGCAAUACAGGACCAAAAACAAUUAGAGGAUUUUGAAAGCCAGCUAGGAGAAUCAAACGAUACUUUUAAACAAAAAAAUUUAACGGAGCUGCGAAGUUCAUUAAAGUUAGGGAACUCUAAAUACCAAAUACACCAGUCAUUGGACUUACUAUUUUCCCGGCAAUUUUUAGCUAAAAUGACUUGGUCCGGACGCAGUAAAACAGAGCAAAAGAUUCCUUUC
Molecule: long non-coding RNA, 700 nt
Organism: Anopheles merus
Lineage: Eukaryota; Metazoa; Arthropoda; Insecta; Diptera; Culicidae
Exons: 3
Source: RefSeq, a predicted model, not a curated record